UAGGGAAUCUUCGGCAAUGGGCGAAAGCCUGACCGAGCAACGCCGCGUGAAUGAUGAAGGCCUUCGGGUUGUAAAAUUCUGUUAUAAGGGAAGAACGACUCUAGUAGGAAAUGGCUAGAGUGUGACGGUACCUUAUGAGAAAGCCACGGCUAACUACGUGCCAGCAGCCGCGGUAAUACGUAGGUGGCGAGUGUUAUCCGGAAUUAUUGGGCGUAAAGGGCGCGCAGGUGGUUGAUUAAGUCUGAUGUGAAAGCCCACGGCUUAACCGUGGAGGGUCAUUGGAAACUGGUCAACUUGAGUGCAGAAGAGGGAAGUGGAAUUCCAGGUGUAGCGGUGAAAUGCGUAGAGAUAUGGAGGAACACCAGUGGCGAAGGCGGCUUCCUGGUCUGUAACUGACACUGAGGCGCGAAAGCGUGGGGAGCAAACA
This 427-nucleotide ribosomal RNA is filed under the name uncultured prokaryote. RNAcentral describes it as "bacterial SSU rRNA". It matches the Rfam family "Bacterial small subunit ribosomal RNA", at positions 355 to 774 of the family's 1533-position model. The record is from RNAcentral.